UUCCCAGAGCGAGGCCCUUUGUCCCCUGGUGAUAGGUGGAGUUAGGGUGGUGACAGGAGCUGUUGUAUUGAUACGCUGAUAUGUAUUCUGAGGUCUGAAGACUGUAUAGUGAUUGGAUAUGGAUAAUUUUCAGGAUCGAAGAUAAGCAGGACUAGAAAAGAUCUCAUGGAGCGCUGCUCAAUACACCAUCCA
Molecule: long non-coding RNA, 192 nt
Organism: Fundulus heteroclitus (mummichog)
Lineage: Eukaryota; Metazoa; Chordata; Actinopteri; Cyprinodontiformes; Fundulidae
Exons: 2
Source: RefSeq, a predicted model, not a curated record